Molecule: ribosomal RNA, 515 nt
Filed under: uncultured bacterium
Lineage: Bacteria
Description: bacterial SSU rRNA
Rfam family: Bacterial small subunit ribosomal RNA
Source: RNAcentral
CUGGCUCAGGAUGAACGCUGGCGGCGUGCUUAACACAUGCAAGUCGAACGGAACUUUCUCCCGACGAAAUUGCGAGCUUGCUCAAGAUGGAGUCAUUUGAAAAGUUUAGUGGCGGACGGGUGAGUAACGCGUGGGUAACCUGCCAUAUACAGGGGGAUAACACUUAGAAAUAGGUGCUAAUACCGCAUAAGCGCACAGGACCGCAUGGUCUAGUGUGAAAAAACUCCGGUGGUAUAUGAUGGACCCGCGUCUGAUUAGCUAGUUGGUGAGGUAACGGCCCACCAAGGCGACGAUCAGUAGCCGGCCUGAGAGGGUGAACGGCCACAUUGGGACUGAGACACGGCCCAAACUCCUACGGGAGGCAGCAGUGGGGAAUAUUGCACAAUGGGGGAAACCCUGAUGCAGCCGACGCCGCGUGAGUGAAGAAGUAUUUCGGUAUGUAAAGCUCUAUCAGCAGGGAAGAUAAUGACGGUACCUGACUAAGAAGCCCCGGCUAACUACGUGCCAGCCGCAGC